GCAUCGUGUGCUGUCUCAGGGUAACUUUCUUCUGUUUGAUGCACUGGACUUGAAGUUGGCAAGUGUGAUUGUUGUGUAUAACCAGGGGAAAACAGUGGCUUUGCGCCAUGCGCUGUUUCAGGGUAACUUUCUUUCCUUUGAGGCUGCGGGUUUGAAGUUGGUAAAUGUGGUUGUUGUGUAUAACCAGGGGAAAACAGAGGCCUUGCGCCAUGCGCUUUUUCAGGAUAACUUUCUUUCCUCUGAGGCUGAGGGUUUGAAGUAGGUAAAUGUGGUUGUUGUGUAUAACCAGGGGAAAACAGAGGCUUUGCGCCAUGCGCUGUUUCAGGGUAACUUUCUUUCCUUUGAGGCUGAGGGUUUGAAGUUGGUAAAUGUGGUUGUGUAUAGCGAGGGGAAAACAGAGGCUUCAUUCCUUUUGUUGGUUCAGGGUAACUUUCU
RNAcentral lists this long non-coding RNA (435 nucleotides) under Nicotiana benthamiana. RNAcentral's name for it is "long non-coding RNA (NBEN_LNC032842)". The record is from RNAcentral. Lineage: Eukaryota; Viridiplantae; Streptophyta; Magnoliopsida; Solanales; Solanaceae.